Molecule: long non-coding RNA, 1107 nt
Filed under: Equus asinus (donkey)
Lineage: Eukaryota; Metazoa; Chordata; Mammalia; Perissodactyla; Equidae
Description: lncRNA (ENSEASG00005027104.1)
Source: RNAcentral
GUUGCUGGGAUAUGAGAAGCCGAGGAAAGCGUGUUCCCAAAGCUAUUUGUGACCACCCCUUCUUUCCUCUUCUCCCUAACAAGGAAACCCUGCCUGUGACGAGCUGUACAAGGCCUGGCUCAGCGGCUGGCGGGACAGCAACUGGAGACUUAGGAAGAAAAACAACUUCUAAACGUGGUGUUCGUGCAAGAAAGUAUCAGUUUUAUCAAUUGUACCUCAGUAAAGCUGAAAAAAAUAAAAUGAUCACAUCUGCAAAGUCCAUUUUACAGCGCAAGAAAGCGGAAAAUCUCUGAUCCACGCCAUCUGUUUGUCUCAUCCAGUGCUGCAUUCCAAUCUCUGCAACAGAAGAUUCAUGACAACCUGCCAAUAAAAUUCCUGAGAUUGUCAAAACACAGAAUACUUGUGAAAAAGUUUAAGAUAAGAUUCUUUCAUGUUUAAAUUCCUCAUACACACCCUUUCUCUCAGAGCACAGCUGGCUUCAGUACCAGAUUUCAGUCUAUUUCAAGGUUUACCUCACAUUUGGGAAGAUGCAAAUGAAAGAGUUUACAUCAAAGAGCAUGGAACUCAUAUCAUCCUUUCUAACAAUGAUGUCAUAUGAAUUGUGCGCCAGCCAUCUAGACAAUGCUAGAGGAACAACAGUGUACAGAAAAGUGCAAGGUAUUUUCAACCUGCAAACGAUCUCUUUUCCUGUAAACAGAGGGUCCUGGCUCUGUCUUAGAGGAGUAGAAUCAUAUUCAGCAGAUCCUGCAUAUUCCUGGAAGGGGCUUUCUGACCACAUGAUCUUCAGGGUGACACAUGGACAAGAAACAGAUCUUCUUCUUGUAAAUAUUACUGCCUUGUAGCACAACUUGGAACUGUUAUUUUAUUUUGCUAAUAAGUUUAUAUUCCGCCUUACCAAAUGACGAGGCAUUACAGUGGAGAAGAAAGCCACGUCUUACCAUAUAGUUACAUGUAUAAUUAGCUCACAUGCAAAUUAAUUGAACAAUUACGUUGUAUAUGCAACUACAAAUGCAUUUAGUACGUAUUUUGGUUAUUGUUUUCCUUUCUAGUGUGCCUUCAGUAAAGAUUGUCAAUAUGCCUUAAGCCACAAGCCAUGUGAGGUCAGAG